Suncus etruscus (white-toothed pygmy shrew) is the source of this 107-nucleotide small nuclear RNA. NCBI's taxonomy places the organism in Eukaryota, Metazoa, Chordata, Mammalia, Eulipotyphla, Soricidae. The record is from RefSeq and is a predicted model, not a curated record.
GUGCUCGCUUUGUCAGCACAUAGACUAAAAUUGGAAUGAUACAGAGAAUAUUAGCAUAGUCCCCACGCAAGGAUGACACACGAAUUCAUGAAGCAUUCUUUUUUUUG